This 608-nucleotide ribosomal RNA is filed under the name uncultured bacterium. Its description in RNAcentral is "bacterial SSU rRNA". It matches the Rfam family "Bacterial small subunit ribosomal RNA", at positions 338 to 1416 of the family's 1533-position model. The record is from RNAcentral.
CCUACGGGAGGCAGCAGUGGGGAAUCUUGCGCAAUGGGCGGAAGCCUGACGCAGCCAUGCCGCGUGAAUGAUGAAGGUCUUAGGAUUGUAAAAAUUCUUUUCACCGGGGACGAUAAUGACGGUACCCGGAGAAGAAGCCCCGGCUAACUUCGUGCCAGCAGCCGCGGUAAUACGAAGGGGGCUAGCGUUGCUCGGAAUUACUGGGCGUAAAGGGAGCGUAGGCGGAUAGUUUAGUCAGAGGUGAAAGCCCAGGGCUCAACCUUGGAAUUGCCUUUGAUACUGGCUAUCUUGAGUAUGGGAGAGGUUAGCGGAACUCCGAGUGUAGAGGUGAAAUUCGUAGAUAUUCGGAAGAACACCAGUGGCGAAGGCGGCUAACUGGCCCAUUACUGACGCUGAGGCUCGAAAGCGUGGGGAGCAAACAGGAUUAGAUACCCUGGUAGUCCACGCCGUAAACGAUGAGUGCUAGUUGUCGGCAUGCAUGCAUGUCGGUGACGCAGCUACGACAUAAGACACUCCGCCGUGGGAGGUACGGUCGCGAGAAUUAAACUACAAAUAGAAGUUAGUACGGCGUGAGACGUCGCCGACGGACGACGACGAGGGAGGUUAGG